Molecule: long non-coding RNA, 2478 nt
Filed under: Bemisia tabaci
Lineage: Eukaryota; Metazoa; Arthropoda; Insecta; Hemiptera; Aleyrodidae
Description: lncRNA ENSSSA3NGG014024
Source: RNAcentral
CAAUUUUCGUCGAUAAAAUCGAGACUAAGUCGCCAUAUAUCGCGAUUUUUGUCGCGAUAAUAUUGCGAUAAAUUGCCGGGCGAUAAAAUCGCGAUUUUAUUGCAACAAGAUCGAGGAUAAUCGCUCAGAUGUUGAUGAUCUUAGCGCUAUCGCCGACAAAAUCGCAACAAAUUUCGAUUUUUCGUUGAAAAAUGCUACUUGGGUCGUCGUGCAAGACAUCGUACCAGUAAACAAACCGUCUCAAAGCUGUUUUAAGUAUUUUUAUCCAAAUCGUGAAUUGUUAAUCAUCAUUAAUUGAAACGAGCUCGUACCAAACGGUUGGUUCAAGAAGCACUCAAAAAGAUUGUGGAGGGUUUUUCCUUUUUAUUCACCGCACGUCAGUUAAACAUUGCGACCAAUCACCUCCAUUAAUGCACAAAAAAUACCUCAUGAAACACGAAUUUCCUCGAUUCACCGAUGUUCUUCGAGGUGUAUUAUUACACGAUGGGAAUUCCCGUGCCGUGGUUUCAACGCCUCGAUAAUUUAGUCAGACUGCUGCCAGAUUCAACGACGCAUUUUGAUGGACACGCGAAAAGAUGAAACUCCGAUGUUUUCAAAACAAUUGUCCGAAAACAUAUUGUUUUUGAACGGUUGAACUCGCCCUGUUUUAAGCUGUCCCUUCCUUAUCCUUUUCAUCGACCGUCCGCACUGCAGGAAGUUGUGUCCGAAAUUCAGGCAUCAGCCGUAGGAUCAAAAUGAAUUAAUCGAGAUUAUCGUUUCAAUUUGCACGCUGGCGCUGAAUUAAGCCACUCUCCUCUGUUCGGAAUUUCCUUAACGUCAAGGUCGCCGCUGAUUCGAUCAUUUUGAGCGCAGUGUAACUUCAAUCGUUCCUCAUCUUUGUGGCAUCAAGUUCAAUUUAUACAUCCUACACGAUGAGUUUUAAGCUGUGGAUCUUGGCCGUUUUCGUGAUCGCCCUUGUGGCUAUUGUCCGGGGCGAUAGUUCCGAAGAAUCCGGAAGCUACGAACACGGACACUACGGUGGUCACGGACAUUACGGUGGACAUGGACAUUACGGUGGACACGGUGGACACGGUGGACAUUACGGCGGACAUGGUGGACAUUAUGGCGGACACGGACACCACGGGGGAUACGGAGGACAUGGCGGAUACGGUGGACAUGGUGGAUACGGUGGCGGACAUGGUGGAUAUGGUGGAUACGGUGGUUGGGGCUGGGGAAAACGAUGAUCUUUCCUCCUUUAAAUUGUAAAUAGCUGUAAUAUAUAAUUUAUUUAAAUCGAUGAUUUGCUUUUGAUUUAAUUAAAUUAAACAAAUGCAUAUACAAACUUUUAUGUACAAUAUCUCGUUAAAAACUGAUAAUGGAAUUAUACUUAAAAUAUUCUCGAGUGUACUGUUUUUUUUUUAUUUUACAGGUGAAUAUUCCUCUCUUCCUACGUUAAUUGCGUUCAAGUAUUUAACUAGGGUUUUUCCCUUAUUACAUUUUCACGCUCCGAAAUCCUAUAAAAUAGCAUCGUUGAAUACCUUAUUACCUUCUGAUAAGUUUUUUUUACGCUGAUUACGAGUUUUUCAUGACAUUUAUUUGCAGUUUUUUAAAAUUAAGGCAAAAAGUAUACAUUUUUAAAGAUUAUUAGAUGUUUUUUUUUCAAAAUACAAAUAAAUUUCAUUUUCAAGUACCUAUUUCGCUUGCUUAGUUCUGCACCAUUUUGAUACGAAUCGUUAAGAUUUUUUCCUGUGCGUACCACUUGUGAGAUUUUUGUUAACUUUUGCUUUAAAAAGUAUGAAUUCAAUCUGAAACUGUAGGAAAACAUCAAAUUUCAAUUUUAACCUAAUACAAUCAAACCUUACUUCUCAGGCGGAGUCUGAAAAUAGCAUAGGAAAAUAGGAUGAAAACUAAAUGCGAAUCACAUUAUUGUCUAAACUUCUGCAUGUCCCUAAGCAUGUUUAGCGAUUACUCACGGGAAUAAUUGAAUGAAUUUUACUGUAAACAUCUCGUAUUUCAAUAAAUUAAACUUUAAUGAGCCGGAAACAAACCUAAAUUCUCUUGAUCCCUUAGUACUUAUCACAAUAACAUCAACGUUUAGAGCGUGCGUACAAUAGUGUAAAUUUAUUUAAACUCGCUACCGGAUCCAGGAAGUACACGUUUGCGUAUUCGAAUGUUGCCAAGUUUUUGCUGAGAAAAUACAUUCAUCUGAGGAAAAUUUUGAAUUUUUUCUCUGCACUAGACCACGCAUCUCGUUUGCGGAGUUUAAAAAUCUCCGUUCCCAUUUUAUUUUCUUUGAAAAAGAACAAGCAACAUUGUUUCUUGAAACACUCAUAGAGUUUUCCAUGCACACAGAAGACAAAACACGGAAGUUUUCAAGAAUUGACGUUGAGUCAUUUUCCAUUUAAAAUAUAAAGCAUGACAGGAGUCUACAACGUCCCAAACCGAGAUACGUGGUCUGGUAUCUUCACCGCUGACUUGAUUAAAUUUCGAAUGGAAUUC